AGAGUUUGAUCCUGGCUCAGAAUGAACGCUGGCGGCGUGCUUAACACAUGCAAGUCGAACGAGAAAGUCUUACUUUCGGGUGGGCGAGUAAAGUGGCGCACGGGUGAGUAACGCGUAGAUGAUCUACCCUUGAGUUCGGGACAACCUUGCGAAAGCGGGGCUAAUACCGGAUACUAUCCUUUCGGGGAUGAAAGUUGGCCGCUCAAAGAAGCUAACGCUCGGGGAUGAGUCUGCUUCCUAUCAGCUGGUUGGCAGGGUAAAGGCCUACCAAGGCGACGACGGGUAGCUGGUCUGAGAGGAUGAUCAGCCACACUGGCACUGACACACGGGCCAUACUCCUACGGGAGGCAGCAGUGAGGAAUUUUGCGCAAUGGGGGAAAUCCUGACGCAGCAACGCCGCGUGGGUGAUGAAGGCCUUCGGGUCGUAAAGCCCUGUCAGGUGGGAAGAAUAGCUUGGGGUCUAAUACGCUUUGAGUAUGACGGUACCACCAGAGGAAGCACCGGCUAACUCCGUGCCAGCAGCCGCGGUAAUACGGAGGGUGCUAGCGUUAUUCGGAAUUACUGGGCGUAAAGCGCGUGUAGGCGGGGAGGUAAGUCUGAUGUGAAAGCCCUGGGCUCAACCUGGGAAGUGCAUUGGAAACUGUGUUCCUUGAGUUCCGGAGAGGAUCGGGGAAUUCCCGGUGUAGAGGUGAAAUUCGUAGAGAUCGGGAGGAAUACCAGUGGCGAAGGCGCCCAUCUGGACGGUAACUGACGCUGAGACGCGAAAGCGUGGGGAGCAAACAGGAUUAGAUACCCUGGUAGUCCACGCCGUAUACGAUGACCACUACGUGUAGCGGGUAAUCAUUCCUGCUGUGCCGCAGCUAACGCGUUAAGUGCUCCGCCUGGGGACUACGGUCGCAAGACUAAAACUCAAAGGAAUUGACGGGGGCCCGCACAAGCGGUGGACCAUGUGGUUUAAUUCGACGCAACGCG
RNAcentral lists this ribosomal RNA (972 nucleotides) under uncultured bacterium. Its description in RNAcentral is "bacterial SSU rRNA". It matches the Rfam family "Bacterial small subunit ribosomal RNA", at positions 8 to 963 of the family's 1533-position model. The record is from RNAcentral.